RNAcentral lists this ribosomal RNA (320 nucleotides) under uncultured eukaryote. Its description in RNAcentral is "partial 18S ribosomal RNA". It matches the Rfam family "Eukaryotic small subunit ribosomal RNA", at positions 1470 to 1796 of the family's 1831-position model. The record is from RNAcentral.
CCCCUAGAUGUUCUGGGCCGCACGCGCGCUACACUGAACAGUUCAACAAGUCUUAACCUUGGCCGAUAGGUCUGGGUAAUCUUUGAACGCUGUUCGUGAUUGGGAUAGACCUUUGCAAUUAUGGGUCUUCAACGAGGAAUUCCUAGUAAACGCAAUUCAUCAGCUUGCAUUGAUUACGUCCCUGCCCUUUGUACACACCGCCCGUCGCACCUACCGAUUGAAUGGUCCGGUGAAAUCUCGGGACGGCGGCUUGGUCGCUUGCGUCCGACUGCUGAAACUUGAUUAAACCAUAUCAUUUAGAGGAAGGUGAAGUCGUAACA